AGCAUUCUUGUUUCAAGUGUACUUCCCCAGAGUUUGGGCCUUCUACAGGGACACAUACUCAAAUCUGAUUGAUCCAUAGAUCUGGUGGAAGAGGCACCAGAGGGCAGAUUGAGGGGAUGUUUAAUUAAUGCAAAACUGUGAGCUCCAUGAAGAAACCAAAAGAGACCAAAACUACUUCAACAAGCAAACAUUAGUUCUGUUUGACAAGCAGAAAGACAUGGUGGCCAAAAAUCUUCAAACCUUCAGGAAAGAGAUGGACAGGUCUGUCUAUAAAGUUACAAGUUACACUGGAAGUGGGUGGACAUAUCAAAUAGAAGAACAGAAUGCCCAAAGCAGGACUACGGCUUGUCCCUUAGUAUAGCUGCCUGUCAGGAUCCUGCCCCCGAGAAGACAUUCUCUUUUCAGCGCCCGCCUCCAUUUCCCUAAUAGGACUUUGCCAUGAAAUCAGUCUCUUAGCAAAGCUGCCUUCUUAUCCAACAAUAAACUUCUAUUUUUGCCACCUAAAACUCUUCAGAUUCGUGAAUUCUUUCAUGACUUACCUGCACCUCCUACCAAAAGGGGAU
Molecule: long non-coding RNA, 563 nt
Organism: Antechinus flavipes (yellow-footed antechinus)
Lineage: Eukaryota; Metazoa; Chordata; Mammalia; Dasyuromorphia; Dasyuridae
Exons: 4
Source: RefSeq, a predicted model, not a curated record